UACGAAGGGGGCUAGCGUUGCUCGGAAUCACUGGGCGUAAAGGGUGCGUAGGCGGGUCUUUUAAGUCAGAAGGUGAAAUCCUGGAGCUCAACUCCAGAACUGCCUUUGAUACUGAGGAUCUUGAGUUCGGGAGAGGUGAGUGGAACUGGCGAGUGUAGAGGUGAAAUUCGUAGAUAUUCGCAAGAACACCAGUGGCGGAAGGCGGCUCACUGGCCCGAUACUGACGCUGAGGCACGAAAGCGUGGGGAGCAAACAGG
RNAcentral lists this ribosomal RNA (257 nucleotides) under uncultured bacterium. RNAcentral describes it as "partial 16S ribosomal RNA". It matches the Rfam family "Bacterial small subunit ribosomal RNA", at positions 524 to 776 of the family's 1533-position model. The record is from RNAcentral.